This 450-nucleotide ribosomal RNA is filed under the name uncultured bacterium. Its description in RNAcentral is "bacterial SSU rRNA". It matches the Rfam family "Bacterial small subunit ribosomal RNA", at positions 355 to 796 of the family's 1533-position model. The record is from RNAcentral.
UGGGGAAUUGUUCGCAAUGGGCGCAAGCCUGACGACGCAACGCCGCGUGGAGGAUGAAGAUUUUCGGAUCGUAAACUCCUUUCGAUCGAGACGAAUGGCCUCCGGGCUAAUACCCCGGAGGAAUGACGGUACCGAGAGAAGAAGCCCCGGCUAACUCCGUGCCAGCAGCCGCGGUAAUACGGGGGGGGCAAGCGUUGUUCGGAAUUACUGGGCGUAAAGGGCUCGUAGGCGGCCAACUAAGUCAGACGUGAAAUCCCUCGGCUUAACCGGGGAACUGCGUCUGAUACUGGAUGGCUUGAGUUUGGGAGAGGGAUGCGGAAUUCCAGGUGUAGCGGUGAAAUGCGUAGAUAUCUGGAGGAACACCGGUGGCGAAGGCGGCAUCCUGGACCAACACUGACGCUGAGGAGCGAAAGCCAGGGGAGCAAACGGGAUUAGAUACCCGCGUAGUCC